GAUGAACGCUGGCGGCGUGCCUAAUACAUGCAAGUCGAGCGAACGGACGAGAAGCUUGCUUCUCUGAUGUUAGCGGCGGACGGGUGAGUAACACGUGGAUAACCUACCUAUAAGACUGGGAUAACUUCGGGAAACCGGAGCUAAUACCGGAUAAUAUUUUGAACCGCAUGGUUCAAAAGUGAAAGACGGUCUUGCUGUCACUUAUAGAUGGAUCCGCGCUGCAUUAGCUAGUUGGUAAGGUAACGGCUUACCAAGGCAACGAUGCAUAGCCGACCUGAGAGGGUGAUCGGCCACACUGGAACUGAGACACGGUCCAGACUCCUACGGGAGGCAGCAGUAGGGAAUCUUCCGCAAUGGGCGAAAGCCUGACGGAGCAACGCCGCGUGAGUGAUGAAGGUCUUCGGAUCGUAAAACUCUGUUAUUAGGGAAGAACAUAUGUGUAAGUAACUGUGCACAUCUUGACGGUACCUAAUCAGAGAGCCACGGCUAACUACGUGCCAGCAGCCGCGGUAAUACGUAGGUGGCAAGCGUUAUCCGGAACUAUUGGGCGUAAAGCGCGCGUAGGCGGUUUUUUAAGUCUGAUGUGAAAGCCCACGGCUCAACCGUGGAGGGUCAUUGGAAACUGGAAAACUUGAGUGCAGAAGAGGAAAGUGGAAUUCCAUGUGUAGCGGUGAAAUGCGCAGAGAUAUGGAGGAACACCAGUGGCGAAGGCGACUUUCUGGUCUGUAACUGACGCUGAUGUGCGAAAGCGUGGGGAUCAAACAGGAUUAGAUACCCUGGUAGUCCACGCCGUAAACGAUGAGUGCUAAGUGUUAGGGGGUUUCCGCCCCUUAGUGCUGCAGCUAACGCAUUAAGCACUCCGCCUGGGGAGUACGACCGCAAGGUUGAAACUCAAAGGAAUUGACGGGGACCCGCACAAGCGGUGGAGCAUGUGGUUUAAUUCGAAGCAACGCGAAGAACCUUACCAAAUCUUGACAUCCUUUGACAACUCUAGAGAUAGAGCCUUCCCCUUCGGGGGACAAAGUGACAGGUGGUGCAUGGUUGUCGUCAGCUCGUGUCGUGAGAUGUUGGGUUAAGUCCCGCAACGAGCGCAACCCUUAAGCUUAGUUGCCAUCAUUAAGUUGGGCACUCUAAGUUGACUGCCGGUGACAAACCGGAGGAAGGUGGGGAUGACGUCAAAUCAUCAUGCCCCUUAUGAUUUGGGCUACACACGUGCUACAAUGGACAAUACAAAGGGCAGCGAAACCGCGAGGUCAAGCAAAUCCCAUAAAGUUGUUCUCAGUUCGGAUUGUAGUCUGCAACUCGACUACAUGAAGCUGGAAUCGCUAGUAAUCGUAGAUCAGCAUGCUACGGUGAAUACGUUCCCGGGUCU
This 1372-nucleotide ribosomal RNA is filed under the name uncultured bacterium. RNAcentral describes it as "bacterial SSU rRNA". It matches the Rfam family "Bacterial small subunit ribosomal RNA", at positions 28 to 1381 of the family's 1533-position model. The record is from RNAcentral.